Molecule: ribosomal RNA, 480 nt
Filed under: uncultured bacterium
Lineage: Bacteria
Description: partial 16S ribosomal RNA
Rfam family: Bacterial small subunit ribosomal RNA
Source: RNAcentral
GAUGAACGCUAGCGGCAGGCCUAAUACAUGCAAGUCGAGGGGUAUGGGUUGCUUGCCACCCAGAGACCGGCGCACGGGUGCGUAACGCGUAUGCAAUCUACCUUAAUCAGGGGGAUAGCCCGGAGAAAUCCGGAUUAACACCGCAUAACAUUGAGUUGUGGCAUCACAGUUCAAUCAAAUAUUUAUAGGAUUAAGAUGAGCAUGCGUGACAUUAGUUAGUUGGUGAGGUAACGGCUCACCAAGACCACGAUGUCUAGGGGAUCUGAGAGGAUGACCCCCCACACUGGUACUGCGACACGGACCAGACUCCUACGGGAGGCAGCAGUAAGGAAUAUUGGUCAAUGGGCGCAAGCCUGAACCAGCCAUGCCGCGUGCAGGAAGACGGCCCUAUGGGUUGUAAACUGCUUUUGUACCGGAAUAAACCUUCUCUCGCGAGAGAAGCUGAACGUACGGUAAGAAUAAGGAUCGGCUAACUCCGUG